Molecule: long non-coding RNA, 3119 nt
Organism: Neofelis nebulosa (Clouded leopard)
Lineage: Eukaryota; Metazoa; Chordata; Mammalia; Carnivora; Felidae
Exons: 2
Source: RefSeq, a predicted model, not a curated record
UGUUGUAUGGAAAACAAUUUGACAAAUUAUAUUAAAAAAAAUAAAAAUAAACAAUUCUUCAAGCAUCUUACAUUGUAACCAGACUACACUAUGUGCUGGUCUUUUCUCUGCAUUGGGUGGACAUCUGUUGUAUUUUCUGCUUGUCUUAAAGUGACACUACUCUUCCAUCCUUCUGGAAGAAGAACCUUUCUAUACUCUCAACCCAAGCCCUUCUGGUGCAGGAACUCCACUUCCUGGGGUGAGCAUGUAAUUCCUGCCUGGCCAAUGAUACCCCCCAGUCAUAGUGAUUGAUACAGGAAUGGACAUAUGACCCAAGCAAAGACAGAGAUGUGGAGACUCUUGCUAGGACUUUUGGGGAAAAGCUGCUCAGCUAUUUGAAGUUGUGUGGAUGUGAGGCCAGAGUUGCUGCUGCUGUUUUGCUACCAUCACAUGAGAACCUACCUGAGAAUGGAGUCAGCCCUCAGAGAAAUGGAGCCAGGAAAUGAGGUGCAAGAAUCCAGGACCAGGGCACUAUUUUGCACCCCAGAUCACCUCCUUCCUGGAGCCACUUGGCCCCCUGGAUUUUUCAAUUACUGAGUGUCUGAAACCUCUCAUAGUUUAGACCUGGCUCAAAUGCUUCUUCAUCCAAUAAACAAACCCUGCUUUCCUGAGCUAGAAGAACUCUCUCCCUUUGAAUUCCCAGAGCAUUUUACAAGUUGAUCUGCUAUGACACAUCCCUUACUCUAUUAUAUUCGUGGUUGGUUUGUUUUUUCUUAGAUACAUAGCUUAUCUCCCUGUAGGCUAUUGGCAACUUGAAGGCAGGGCUUACGUUGUCAUUGCCUUUUUAUCUCACAAAGCACAAAACAAGAUGUUUUGGACAAAAUGGGUCUCAGUUCACAUUAGUUGAGAGAACAGAUGAAUCAAUACAAUGAACUUUGUCUCUGAGCGAGCAGUGCACUGUGGGAAGAAGCCAGCUUUGCUUCCUGGGAGGAAGAGAACAAACCACUGCUGGAGAUGUUGCAAUAGUCCAAGCUACCAAAUCAAGAAGAGGUAGAGAAAGAGGCGGGGCUUGACAAGGACACAAGCCAGGCAGAUCCAGCACUGUGUGCAAGAAAGCUGUAAGAACCCAGAAGGCAAGUGUAUAGAAAAUUCUCUGGCUCACUCCAGGGCUUCAUUUAGCCAAGAAUGUCAUGAGUGUCUGGGUCAGUGACUUGCACAGAGUUUCUGAAUUAGCUACCAUUUACUGGAUGCUUAGUGCUUGCCAGGCAUUGUGCUAAGCACUUGACAUGCAUCACCUCAUUUAGUCCACAAAAUAACUCCAUGAGUUAUUCCUCCCAUUUUACAGACAAGGAAGCUGGAGUGCAGAAAGAUGAGUACUAUCUUGCUCCAAGUCACACAGUCACUAAGUGUCAGAUCCAGGAUUUAACUGAGAGUAUAACCAGUGUGUGAAACGCUUAGAAAAAAAAAAUAAAAAGCACAAGAAGGAGAAAAGGGAGAUAAAAAGGGUAAAUGGUGAUAGAGAAAUGAGGAAAAGACAGAAACUCCAGAUGACUCAUUUGCUUAAUUAAGAAGCAUUAGGAGAUGAAGUCAAGACUCCAGGAGAGGGGGAGCCUGGGUGGCUCAGUUGGUUAAGUGUCUGACUUUGGCUCGGGUCAUGAUCUCACGGUUUGUGGAUUCAAGCUCUGCAUUGGGUUCUCUGGUGUCAGCACAGAGUGUGCUUCAGAUUCUCUGUCCACCACCCCCCCCACCCCCCGCCUCUCCCCUGCUUGUGCUCUGUCUCUCUCAAAAAUAAAUAAACCUUAAAAAAAAAGAGUCCAGGAGAAAGAAAGGUAAGAGGAAAACUGUAUGGCUUCUCUAAGGGUAAGAGGACAAUGGGGACAGAUCCAUUCAGAGGGAGGCAUGUGGCGAAGGAUGAUAAAGGUGCCUGAUAAUAGAGUGAGGUCUUUCUUACUCAUUCGAAUGGAAUGAUUCCAAGGGAAAAUCCAGAUUUCAGGAAGUAGGGAGUUGGACAUGAACUUCACAUCAACAACAAAAGGAAUUUGUCCUGGAGACUAUCCCUGCUGGCACCAUGCCAGGACCCCUCUGAAGGAACAAGGUAAUGGCUCUUGAAUGCCCUUCAGGAAGAAGCAGUAUAUGGAAAGUGCAAGCAGUUCCAAAAAAAGCUUGGGAAAUGAACUGGAGUAUAAAAAAAAAAGGAAGACUGUGACAAGGGGAGGAUAUGAUUAACUACAAGGCAAAUACCUUUUUUUUCUUUAUUUUUUUUUAGUAUUUAUUUUUGAGAGAGAGAGACAGACAGAGGGUGAGCAGGGGAGGGGCAGAAAGAGAGAGGGAGACACAGAAUCCAUAGAAGCCUCCAGGUUCUGAGCUGUCAGCACAGAGCCCAACACAGGGCUCGAACUCACAAGCCGUGAGAUCAUGACCUGAGCCAAAAUUGGAUGCUUAACCGACUGAGCCACCAGGUGCCCCUAAGGCAAAUGCUGUUGAUAAGGGAUGGGAAGAGGCAGGUCCACACAGGAGGAACUCCGAAGACAUGUUGUACAUGUGGUCAGGAUUUACCUAGUAGACACAGUUUACCUAUCAAAUUAGCAAAGAUAAAAAACAACAUAUAUCUGAGAAACAGGCCCUCUUAUUCACUAUUGUUGGGGAUACAAUUAAAUAAUUUUUCUGGCUGAUUAGGUAAUAUCAAAACCCUAAAAUAUCAAAAACCCUAAAAAUAUCCAAAUGGAAUUGAUUACAGCAUUAAAAGAAUGAAGAUCCACUGACCAAACAAAUAAGGAUUCACUGAACAAGAGGAAUUUUUCUAGAAACGCAAGGAUGGUUUUCCACUUGGAAAUCUAGUGAAUAGUUCAAUGCAAUAAUAAGCUAAAGAGGGGGAAAAAUCACAUCAUUAGCAAUAAAUGCUGAAAAGGCAUUUGAUAAAGUUCAACAAUUUAUAAUUUUACCAAAGAAUAGUCCACUUUUACUGAAUUCUUACCACAUACCAUGGACUGUUACCCUAUGAGGUAAAAUUAAACAUUUUAUGGAUGAGAAAACCAUUAUGUGGCAACUCUUCUAGAGCCUGAACACUGACAACCCCAAUGUAGACUGUUUCUUUUGUUAAAUGUAAAAUCUAUACAACCAGCUCCUAUAAAUUAAUUUUU